UGUAGUCAUAUGCUUGUCUCAAAGAUUAAGCCAUGCAUGUCUAAGUAUAAGCAAUUUGUACGGUGAAACUGCGAAUGGCUCAUUAAAUCAGUUAUCGUUUAUUUGAUAGUACCUUACUACUUGGAUACCCGUGGUAAUUCUAGAGCUAAUACAUGCUGAAAACCUCGACUUCGGAAGGGGUGUAUUUAUUAGAUAAAAAACCAAUGCCCUUCGGGGCUCCUUGGUGAUUCAUAAUAACUUAACGAAUCGCAUGGCCUUGCGCCGGCGAUGGUUCAUUCAAAUUUCUGCCCUAUCAACUUUCGAUGGUAGGAUAGUGGCCUACCAUGGUGGCAACGGGUAACGGGGAAU
RNAcentral lists this ribosomal RNA (348 nucleotides) under uncultured fungus. Its description in RNAcentral is "SSU rRNA". It matches the Rfam family "Eukaryotic small subunit ribosomal RNA", at positions 21 to 370 of the family's 1831-position model. The record is from RNAcentral. Lineage: Eukaryota; Fungi.